AUUGAACGCUGGCGGAAUGCUUUACACAUGCAAGUCGAGCGGCAGCGCGGGGGCAACCCUGGCGGCGAGCGGCGAACGGGUGAGUAACACAUCGGAACGUACCCUAUCGUGGGGGAUAGCUCGGCGAAAGCCGGAUUAAUACCGCAUAAGACCUGAGGGUGAAAGCGGGGGAUCGCAAGACCUCGCGCGAUUGGAGCGGCCGAUGUCGGAUUAGCUAGUUGGUGAGGUAAAGGCUCACCAAGGCGACGAUCCGUAGCUGGUCUGAGAGGACGACCAGCCACACCGGAACUGAGACACGGUCCAGACUCCUGCGGGAGGCAGCAGUGGGGAAUUUUGGACAAUGGGGGAAACCCUGAUCCAGCCAUUCCGCGUGAGUGAAGAAGGCCUUCGGGUUGUAAAGCUCUUUCGGCAGGAACGAAACGGUGGAGGCUAAUACCUUCCAUCAAUGACGGUACCUGAAGAAGAAGCACCGGCUAACUACGUGCCAGCAGCCGCGGUAAUACGUAGGGUGCGAGCGUUAAUCGGAAUUACUGGGCGUAAAGCGUGCGCAGGCGGCUUUGUAAGACAGGUGUGAAAUCCCCGGGCUUAACCUGGGAACUGCGCUUGUGACUGCAAGGCUUGAGUGCGGCAGAGGGGGGUGGAAUUCCACGUGUAGCAGUGAAAUGCGUAGAGAUGUGGAGGAACACCGAUGGCGAAGGCAGCCCCCUGGGUCGACACUGACGCUCAUGCACGAAAGCGUGGGUAGCAAACAGGAUUAGAUACCCUGGUAGUCCACGCCCUAAACGAUGCCAACUAGGUGUUGGGGAAGGAGACUUCCUUAGCACCGUAGCUAACGCGUGAAGUUGGCCGCCUGGGGAGUACGGUCGCAAGAUUA
RNAcentral lists this ribosomal RNA (874 nucleotides) under uncultured bacterium. Its description in RNAcentral is "bacterial SSU rRNA". It matches the Rfam family "Bacterial small subunit ribosomal RNA", at positions 28 to 896 of the family's 1533-position model. The record is from RNAcentral.